ACUGCGUACGGCUCAUUACAUCAGCUAUAACUUUCUUUGAUCAUAAAUUCUAAAUGGAAUAACCGAGGAAAAGCCUGGGCUAAUACAUGCGACAAUUCCGGUAGUAAUAUCGGAAUGCUUUUAUUAGAUCAAAACCUUCUAGUUCUUUUACCGGAACUGUUUGUUGGUGACUCUAAAUAACUUUGUGUUGAUCGUAUGACCUUUGUGUCGACGACAUAUCUUUCAAGUGUCUGACUUAUCAACUUUAGACGGUACAUUAUAUGUCUACCGUGGUUGUAACGAGUACAGAGAAUCAGGGUUUGGUUCUGGAGAGGCCGCCUGAGAAACGGCGACCACUUCCAAGGAAGGCAGCAGGCGCGCAAAUUACCCACUCUCAAAACGAGGAGGUAGUGAAGAGAAAUAACGAUGUUAGUCUUUUCUAGGCUGACAAUCGGAAUGGAAACACUGUAAACAGGUUAUUGAUUAACAAUUGGAGGGCAAGUCUGGUGCCAGCAGCCGCGGUAAUUCCAGCUCCAAUAAGGAAAACUAAAGUUGCUGUGUUUAAAAAGCUCGUAGUUGAAUUUCGGGUAUUUGUUGCUAGCUGGUCUUAAUGGCCAUGUUGGUUAACAGAUCCUCAUUUGCUGGACGGCUGGCGAUGAUCUUUAUCGAUUGUCGUCAGUUGCCAGAACGUUUACUUUGAGAAAAUUAGAGUGCUAAAAGCAGGCUCACGCCUAUAUAUAUUGCAUGGAAUAAUGAAAUAAGAUCUCGAUUUUAUUUCGUUGGUUUUAGAAAUUGAGAUAAUGAUUAAUAGGAUCAGAGGGGGGCGUACGUACUGUGGUGUGAGAGGUGAAAU
This 832-nucleotide ribosomal RNA is filed under the name Bdelloidea sp. R1A. RNAcentral's name for it is "SSU rRNA". It matches the Rfam family "Eukaryotic small subunit ribosomal RNA", at positions 86 to 917 of the family's 1831-position model. Lineage: Eukaryota; Metazoa; Rotifera; Eurotatoria. The record is from RNAcentral.